AGAAUUCGCCUCCAAAAUGUAGUCCUCGACAAGUCACAAAUGUUCGAAAUAACAAAAAUGUAUAUUCAAACAAAACAUAAAAUUUACCAAAGAUAUAUAACAAAAUUAAAAGGUUCACAAUGGUCAAGAUUACGUAUAGAUAGAUAGCGCACGGGCUAUUAUCUCUCUUUCACAAUACAAUUUCUCUCUCACUCACUGUCACAGUCCAACUACGAUUGUUCAACUAACUCUCUGCUCUCUUUCGUGACUAUUUCACUCACACCCUCACUUUGACACCUAAUCAUUCCUACGUCAUGCACUAAUAAUCAAUUAAAUUAAUAAUCUUAUCUGUCAGUUCCCGACACACUCCCCCAUAUAGCUCAGAAUUGAGGUAUAUGUCCUUGAAGGGACUGACUUCGUUGCUGUAGUUCAUCAUUUACUACCUAACAAAUAGAAUAUAUAAAGUUAAUAUGGAAUAAAGUUAUAAUAAAUGUCUCGCAUCAGUAUUCUUCCGCAU
Molecule: non-coding RNA, 496 nt
Organism: Paramuricea clavata
Lineage: Eukaryota; Metazoa; Cnidaria; Anthozoa; Malacalcyonacea; Plexauridae
Source: the annotation of a GenBank genome assembly